RNAcentral lists this long non-coding RNA (340 nucleotides) under Nicotiana benthamiana. Its description in RNAcentral is "long non-coding RNA (NBEN_LNC034938)". The record is from RNAcentral. Lineage: Eukaryota; Viridiplantae; Streptophyta; Magnoliopsida; Solanales; Solanaceae.
UCAAAUCAUAUUUAAAAGCUUUAUUGAUCAUGUAGUUUGAGGAAAACGCCUCAAGAAAGUUAGGCCUCAACUUACCUCAGCCUUGCUUAUUCAUCUUCAAUCCCUUGACGCUUCUAACAUCCAAAAAUGUUCAUUCUCUUGGAGACAAAUCUUGAAAAUUUCUACUUUGAAGAAUUCUUGGGGAGAAUUGAGAAUCUUGUUUGGUGGAAAUGUGGAAUUAAUCCCUUGGCCGAGCUCUCACUCUAAACUCCAAGCCCUAACUCAAAAACCAACAUCUCAUUCUCUCUCCCUGCUAUUGUUGUCGGUUUAUAGUCAUGAGCAUCCGCGUGUUUGCCUUUCC